Molecule: long non-coding RNA, 1457 nt
Filed under: Olea europaea subsp. europaea
Lineage: Eukaryota; Viridiplantae; Streptophyta; Magnoliopsida; Lamiales; Oleaceae
Source: RNAcentral
UUGGUUAUCACUUUAUCCAAAUAAGACUCUUGAUUAAUAGUCAUCCUAUUAUCAGCCCUAUUCUUUUUAAUAACCAUGCCAAGGAUUUUUCUUGCCUCUGCUAAGUCUUUCAUGUCAAAUUUCGAUUUUAAAAGGUUUUUCAUCUUUAUGAUUUCAGCUUUACUAGGAUUAGUAAGCAACAUGUCAUCCACAUAUAACAAUAAAUAAACUUCACAGCCUAUUUUAGAGUUAUUAAAAUAUAGACAUGCAUCAAAUUCACUCCUCUUAAAACCAAUUUUAAGCAUAUAAGCAUCAAAUCUCUUAUACCAUUGCCUAGGACUCUACUUAAGACCAUAUAAGGACUUUCUAAGCAAAUACACAAGUUCUGAUUUUUCCUUCACCUAGAACCCUUGAGGUUGAGACAUGUAAAUCAAUUCAUCUAACUCCCCAUGAAGAAAAGCCGUCUUAACAUCUAGUUGCUCCAACUCCCAAUCAUACUGGACAACUAAGGCUAAGACUAACCUGAUAGUUUUAUACUUAAUAACCGGUGAGAAUAUCUCAUUAUAGUCUAUCCCUUCUCUCUGAGUAAAUCCCUUCGCAACCAACCUGGCUUUGUAUGUUAAAAGGUCUUUAGGUCCUACUCCUUCUUUUAAUUUGUAGAUCCAUUUACAAUGGAUAUCUUUUGAUUCUUUGAUUUUUCAACCAACUUCCAAGUCUCAUUUUUGUGUAGAGACUAGAUCUCUUCUCUCAUUGCCUUUUUCCAAUUUUCAGAAUUUUCACAGUUAACCGCUUCCUCAAAUGAAGUCGGUUCAACUGACUCCAAGGCUUCACCUGAAACUAGGACAAAUUCCAUCAAAUUUGAAGAGAUGUAUUUCAAAUUGGGCUUCACUUGUCUUCUUUCUCUAUCCCUCACUAAUUGGUAAUUAUCCAAAUUAGUGCCUGCAGAUGUUUCUUGAUUAGGGACAACAGUUUCAGAAAUUUCAAGUUCAGGUUGUUCUAUCACUGCUUCUUGAUCAAAUUCUUCUUGAGAUUGGAUUUCACUAUCCUCUAGAUUAUCUCAUAAUCUCUUCGCCUCAAAUUCCAUCUUCUUUCCAGUAGAAGAUUCUCCUUUCUCAGUCUGUUUGUUCUGACUUACUAGGUUUUUAAGAGAAGGCAUAUCAAGUUCAUUGAACUUUACAUCUCUACUGUUAAUAAUCUUAAUGCCCUUUACACCUAAAACUCAUAGUCUAUGUCUUUUUACUCCCUCUAGAUAACCUAACAUGACACACUUAGUAGCCCUAGGGUCCAAUUUGCCCUCAACCUGAUGUGCAUAAGCUGCACAACCAAACACUCUAAUAUGUGACAAAUCUGGGGAUUUUCCAGACCACAACUCAUGAGGAGUCUUGAAGUUAACAGAACUAGAAGGUGACCUAUUUAUUAAAUAGGCAGCAGUGCACACGACUUCACCCCAGAAACCUUUAGACAACCCAAAAUUAAUC